CCCUUUCUGUAAAGAAGUGUUUCCUAAUGUCCAACCUAAAUUUUCCUUGGCACAAUUGAGGCUGUUUCCCCUCAUCCUGUCACCAGUGAAAAGAGGCUUGCCCCGCUCUCACUGUAAGCACCUUACAGAUACUGGAAGAGAGCAAUCGGGUCUCCCCUCAGCCUCCUUUUCCCUGGACAAAGCAGCCCCAGCUCCCUCAGCCUCUCUUCAUAGGGCUGAUUUUCCAAGCCCUUCACAAGCUUUGCUUGCUCCUUGGGCCCAGCCAUUUGGCCAUUGCUUCACCCAGGGGAGCAUACGCCCAUCCAGACCAUGUGCACCCAGCCCAUGUUAUGGGGGGCAGUGUCAAAGGCCUUACUGAAGUCCAGGUAAACCACAUUGACAGCCUUACCCUCAUCCACCGGCCGGGGCACCUUGUUAUGGAAUGAAAUCAGGUUUGUCAGACAGGAUCUACUAUUCAUAAACCCAUGCUGACUAAGCCUGAUCCCCUGGCCGACCUUUUAUUGGUCCGUGAUGGUUCUUGAGAUUAUUCAUUCCAUAACUUUCCCAGACAUCAAGGUGAGACUGAUAGGCCUUCAGCUACCAGGAUCAUCUUUCUGUCCCUUUUUGAAGAUGGGCAUCACAUUUUCCAGCCUUCAAUCCUCUGGGAUGUUCCUGGUCAGCCAGGACUGCUGAAAAAUGAUGGAGAGUGGUUUUGCAACCACAUCCCUCAGCACAGGUGAGGAAGAGCUUAUUUUUAAUGAGUUUUCUUUUUUUGUCUGAUAGAAAUGAAUGGGUUCCCAGAUGCUUUGUCCCUUCAUAUGGAAUUUCCUUACCAAGAACUGGAUAGUGUAGGGAUACAGACUGGUUCUGCUGUGCCAUAAGCUCUUUGCUCCCUCGCUGGGUUAUGUUUGCACUUGGGGUCCUUCAAACAAAAUCUGAAGGAGAGAGAUGUCCCUCUGGCUGGUCUCAGUGAGAUCAAAGAGCUCAUGGUGUUACUAUCUGGAGCCAGAUGUAGGCCUAAACAUCAUUUAUUGGCUUAUCCAAAUGCAGACAAAUAGCUUUCACACUUGAUUAUGAAAAUAGCACCAUUUAAUUGUCAUCAGGGAAUUUCAGACUACAUGUGUUGUUUUUUUUCUCCUCCAAGGUAAAGUGAAGAUCUUCUGAUUAACAGCUACAGUAGAAUGUGACUGAUUUAUUUGAGAACGCUGCUUUUUGCCAAGCAUGCUGCUAUAACAAAAGUACUGUUCGUUAUGACAUUGUACUGAGUCACUUGUUGAUGCUAUUUGAGGGAGAGAAUUUGGUUAAGAAACUGGAACAGGAUGUUCAUUUUAUUUCAGUCCUUGUAAUCCUGAGUCAUCCCUGAUAGCUGAUGAAAUACAGAAACUCGUAUAUUAGACAGGGCUUCUCUUAACAUAAUUUUUGGAUGCUGUAAUUUGAUAGAGGGUGAAAAAUACACAAAGCUGAUUUUAUGCAGAGAGGUUUAUUUUAGUUGUCACUCUCUGCUGAAGCACUCUUAAACUUGGUAUGUAUGCAGCAUUUUGCUGUGUCUUUAAGUAUGUUGUUGGUGGGCUGCAACACGAGUUGAUGUGUACAUAGCUCACAGCUGUGCAGGUAUUUGGGUUUUGAAAAGGCUGUUUCCACUGUUUGCUUUUUGGCUGGUUUAGGGGAUAUGGCUUUUGGUUUAGUCCCACUGGCUGCUUGUGGGCUGCUCCCACUGGUGGGUAGAGUGGGGAAUCCCAUUACGUGCAUGUGAGGCAAGGGGAAAAGGCUGUAUUCACAUUUUAACUGCAGUUUUGGAUGUGAUCUUAUCCAAGCCUGUGAACUUGCAGGGCUAUUGUCCAGGUGACUGUCGGAUUAGUAUGACCCAUCAGAUCCGUGAUACUAUCUCCUGUGGAACUGAAGCUGAGCACAGAGACUUUUCAUACUACUUUGUGUGCAUCCCUUCAGCUUAACUUCAGGGUGGCAGGCAGCAAAUCUUUAGCAGCCCAGCUUGCUUAUGGGCAGAAAAUAAAGUAUAUUGACUCAGUUUAAAGCUGCGGGAAGAAUUCAUGUUGGAAGAACAUAAUUAUUGGGUCUGGAGUCCAAGUAGGAUGCACAUUGCUCCUUCUAGAUGUGUGUGAACCAUGCAAGAGGACCUACGAAGGCUCCUUCCUCACUUAAUAGAGAAGUAGAAUGAGUAUGGGGAAUGGAGGUAAAAGCGUACUUUUAAAUCAUCUGCAUCCAAGCAGCGUAAUUCAUUCAUCCCUUCUGGCACAGUUGCUAAUUUAUAUUUAAAGCAAUGUGAAUUUCAUGAGCAUUUUAAAAAAUCAUAUUUUAAAUUCAAUUUGCUGUCAACUCAUUUGAUGUUUUAUGUAAAGUCAUUUCCCAUAAACAGGUUACUGAAUAUCAAAAGAAUUCUCAUGCAUAAUUUUUUGAAGGAAAUAAUAGUAUAAUAGAGAUGCAAGCCUGGCCCUCCUGAGUCAGAAACAGUGCAGGGAUGGCACUGCUCCUUGGUACUUCUCUUAAUGCAGUCAAAGAGUGUCCUGGGCAAGUGGCAUUUGAGAAGCUUGCAGCAGUAGUAAUAGUGUUUUUGAGCCUGCAAUAGGCUGUUCUGCAAUGGCCUAGUGAUAGAUAAUAUAUGAAGAAAGACGUCAGUGUGUUCUUUCUCAGAUAUCAGACAGAGAGUUCGAAGGAAAUGGAUUGAGAUGCUUCAAAUACAAGAGACGUUUCCAGCAGUACAGCUCAUGUGGAGCUUAAUGGACUGGGUAAUAUUAAGAGAGAUGCUGUAAAACUAAGGCAUGUUUGUUAAAAACUAUUGAAGAAAGAUGUGCUGUCUUUCCUUGGCACAGGAUUCUCGCUUGUGUUUGGAAAUUGCUGUCGUCUAGAAGGUGCGGCGCCGUAUGAAAUAGCAUCAGAACUGCCACGGAGCUGAAUCCUUCACAAAAAGCAAGAGGUUGGUCUCUGGGUGACCCCAAUUUCUCUUCCAGGUGCUGAGUAAUGUGCCCUGGGUGUGAGCAUAUAGCGUGCAAGUAAGCAGCUUGGGCUCUCGCACUGAUUUGAUGGAUUUCAAGCACAGCACAUCGGGCCAGGGAGGUUACUGCAAUAGCUUUUUAUUUAUUUAUCUGUAAUUUGAACUGGCUCCAUUGUAGAAGUGGGCUUCUCCCUCUCUUUGAAAUCUAUUAGAGGAAAAUCAUACCAUAACCCCCUGAGCUGGUACAGAGGUUUCUAGAAGGAGUUCUAUGGAAGACGCAGGGAUGGAUGAGGUUGGCCUUGCUUUUAGGUGCUGGGACUUGGCAGCAUGAACAACCACAGUGGCCCACGCCUGGGGUCCAUCACAGGUGGUCAUCAAGGUUGUGCCAGGUGUGGCCUUCCUGUCCCAUCACUCUGGCCUUGUCUGAUUAUGGCCAGGGGUUGGCUCCUGCUUUUCUGUGGGACAAACCCUGCCAGAAGCACUGUGUGUCUUUCAGCUCUGUCUGCAAGCAUGUGGCAUCCUCUGCAUUACAGGGAGACACGAUGGCUUCUUGUGCCUAUAGGUGGUGUGAGAUUGCUGCUGUUUCAUGGAAUCCAGAGCUUCUAUUUAUUUAUUUAUCCUUUAAGGAUUGCAGUCUUGCUAAUAGUGGGUUCAGAGGAAUGAAAGCUUGGUGCCGUGCCAGCUAUAAGUAACAGGUGAAUCAGAAAUGCAGCAGGGCUGCCCCUACUGACACAGCCAAAGUUUGUCAUUUGGAGCUCAGCAAAUAAAAACCAACCAAACAAACCCAGCAUUUAAAAUGAUGUAGGGAGCUCCAGUAAGUCUUUGCAGGCUAAUUCUGCAAUUGUGUAUUCUGUUGAUCAGACUGUGGGGUGUCCUAUAGGGCUUGCAGGCAGGUUGCACUGCGGCUCUGGGAAAUCUGAGCAGCCUGUUGAGAAGUGUUCUUUUUGGAAGAGAUGUGAAAUAUUACUAAGCUAUUUAAGGGUGAUGAGGCACUGGAACAGGUUGUCCAGACUGGUGGGGAAUGCCUUAUCCCUGGAGAUAUUCCAUGUCAGGCUGGGCGGUAGCUUUGAGCACCCUGACUGAGAUGUAGGUGUCCCUGUUCAUUGCAGAGGAGUUGGAAUAGGUGGUAUUUAAAGGCCCCUUUCAACUCAAAUGAUCCCGUGAAGUUUAUUCCGUGUUAAUACUUGGUUCAAUUCUUUAUUCCAAACACACCAUUGUGAAUUGCUGUGUGCAGAUCUGCCCCGCAGAACACACCUCUCUGCCCUCCAGUGUCUAAUGCAGGUAGGCUGAGAAGCCAAGGAGAGAGAAAUGUAAGCAGUGCAGCCUGUGUGCAGGCAUGUUUUCUAUUAGGGUUUGUGCCUGUGUGCUGCAGCUGGCAGUUGUCUUGCUCACAGCUGCUCAGGGGAUGGCAGUUUCUCUUCGUUGCAGCUUUCAAGUUUUGAACUGUGUCUGUUUCCUAUAGAAACAAUGACAAAAAGCAUCUUCUGGGCUGUCCCCAUCAGAACAGAAACAUACAAUUGGGGAUAACUGGGUUCUGACAGCUUUCCAGCGGUGUGGUUGCUGAUUGACCCAAGCUUCAACAGGUAGCUCAGCAGAGGAGCAGGGCUCACCAGCGUCUGUAGGCUCCGUGCCCAGCAGCACACUGCUCUCAUCAGCCUGGGAUUAGGGCACGAUGGCACUCAGCAUGAGAUGCAGGGUGAUGGUGUUGCACUGAGGCCUCUCGUGCUAAUCCUUGCUUAAUGCGGCGAUGCUGCCGUUGUUAGUGGCUGUUGCUGGACAGGAUUAAGGAAGAAAAACCUGUGAGAAGCAGGGAUUGGUCACGCAUUAUCUCCCUGUAUCUUUUAAUCUCUCAUGUGGCAAGGCCUGAUGUUUUCAAGUCUCCCUUUUGAAAGGGCAGAUAGAAACAUACUGCUGCUGUCUGGAACCUUUAAUCUUUGCAUGGAAAAUAAGCUUUCUUUGCAGAAGCAGGAUGCUUUUGCAGAUGUUCUCAGAAAUGCUGAUGUUGUGCCUUGGUUGAUACGGCCAAUAAAAAAUGAGGUCUUGUCAAUCAAAACUAUUACUUUAAUGGUAAAGGCAAAAAUGGCAAGUGCAAGAAAACCAGUGUUAGAGAAAAACGUGCCUCACUUCCUUGGUCUAAUUUAUGCAGGAAGAAUUGAGGCUUUUAUUGUGAGUCUUGAUAUCCACACACUGUUCAGUUAUGAACCGUUACUGUUUUAGUUACUGUUGGCUGCCCAGAUGAUCUUUGUCAGUUUAUUCAAGGCAUGUCAUUACUUGACUGUGUUUGGGGAGGUUGCUGCGAGCUCUGUGCUCCAGCCUGGUAGAGCUGCUGGGCUGGCUUUGGGACGUCUCUUUUCUGGAUGUUAGGGAGAAAAUUCUUCUCAGAAUGAAUGAUGAGGUUUGGAACAGGCUGCCUGGGGGGGUAGCGGAGUCACCGUCCCUGGAGGUGUAUGAGAAAGGUGUGGAUGUAGCACUGAAGGACUCUUAGUGGGUAUGGUGGGGGAUUGUUUGAUGGUUGGGCUCGAUGACCUUGCAGGUCUUUUCCAAUAUUAAUGAUUUUAUGAUUCUACUCAAUGAUUCUAUGAAUAUAGAAUUUGACUUGCAGGUGUGUACUUAAGCAUGCUUCAAGGCAUGAAGGUUUCACGUGUGCAGGUGCUGCUGGCACUGUCAGUUGCUCACACACUCAUUUCUCAUAAAGACACAAAAGGAUACAAAACCCCCCCUAUGUAUCACAUUUCUGAAACAGUAAUACAAAGAUUCCAGGGGUCUUAGUGAUUAAUUAGAUUCAAAAUGGCAAACAUGACCACCUAGCAACAAAAUCGAAUCGUAUGCGAAUAGUGCAUUAACUCAACUAGCACUCCUAUUUUGUUUCCCAUCCCUACUUUAGCCAUUGGAAGGUAGCACCGGUCUGACGCAGACCCUGCGUGUGCUUAUGGCAGAGCCUUUUCCUUCCCUGGGCAGAAGCCUCAAAGAAAGCAUCUGCUCAGAUAUCCCUAUUCUCCUACACCCUCAUUAUUAUCUCAUGACUUAAUCAUAAGCUGCCUUUAGCUCAGGUCUGCUUGUAACGUCUUUUUUUUUGCUUUUGACGCGUGGGCUUUCCUUUUAAUGUCUUGGUUGUUCGGUUCUGCGGUGAGUGAUGGGACUGAAAUACCUGCUGACAAGCAGAGGAUCUUAAAAAUUCCUUUUGAAAUAUACCUGAAAAUUGCAAAUUUGGGUCUCAGAUGCAAAAUCCAACCGCUCACCACCCAAGGCGUGAGAGAAGGCAUGGGCUUCUUGCACAAACAGGUGAGCAGCACUGGUAUAACAUGCAGCUUCUGUGUUUAAGGCUUGCUGUGCUCCCAGAUUCAGGCCUACUUUCUUACUGGGGAGUCUCAAGAUAGUCAGUAUUUUCCUUAAGGCUCAAUCUUCCAGUCCUGUGAUUAUGAGAAACUGCUUUCAUUAACUAAAAUUGGCCUGAAAGCAUGAGAGCGAUCAACUGGCAGAUGCUGCUGUCUCGAAAACUGCAAGACAAAGACACGUACCCCUACAUUUUAAGGCCUUUUGGCUUUUGGGGUUGUAAUUUCUUUCCGGGAAACCGUGGUGAUAAUUUUGGUGUGCUACUGACAACUAUUCCCAGCUGGCUUUUGUUUUUAAGGUGGCACCUGGAAGUUUUCCUCCCCCCAGUUUUACUUUUUCAGGACAUAUCUCAUUGUGAAACACCCAGUCUAUUUGAUUUUGGGAAUAUUUUUUGUUAUUUAUGAAUUCUAUAUUUGAAAUACUGUUUUUUCUUUGACUGGAAGAUGGGGACAUUUUAGCCAGCCCUCUGUGAGCAUGACUUGCUGACAAAUCCCUCACCGGGGUGUUAUUUGCUUCUAGUCGCAUCGCCCACACCCACACUGAGGUCCGUCUGCUCUCCUUUGGAUGAUGUGCAUGCAAAAAGAAAUUGGACAUCUUAAGCAUCCAUCAUUAUGUCCCCCAUAGGUGUGCAUUUUUCAUAGCAAGAAAAGAGAAAGUGUCCGAGUGGGGAAGAAAACAUGCAUUGGGAACUGGAAACCUUGGGAGCAGCGUGUUUGUAUUGUGCUCUUAGCCAGUGCUGCAGAGAUUCCGCAGUCCCCUUGUUAGCCCUUUGCUGCAUGCAGUACUUUUGUGGUUCCACUAAAUGCUGAGCUCACCUGGUUCAGAUCUAUGCACGCACUAGCGACAUGAGGAGGAGCUGCUGCUGCCCGGGUGCUGCCAGGAUACCGCCUGCUUGCUGGGGAGGUGCCAGCAUUUAUGACCGAUCUCCUCACCUUUGCCAGCAUGGUCCUGCCUCGGCUCGGCGGCUUUCGUUGGGUUUCUGUAGCACGGCCAGGCUCACUUUGCCCUCCUGUGGCUGACAGAGGAUGUUCAAGACGUCUCUAUCCCCGUGCAUCAGUGCCCUCCAGGGCUGGAGUCGGCUCAGAUUUUGCCUUCUGCUUGAAACAGUUCUGUGACGAUUGCAUUCGGUAUUUAGGAUUGCUUCUAGGGCUGCUGAUUUGUUUUGAGGAGCUGAUGAAAUACAUCAAGAGGAGACAAGACUCUGAUGUUGGUUGCUGGCUCUGGAUGUCGUUGCCUUCUCGGAUGUGGCAGAGGCUGUAAGGAAUUGCUUCUUUGACUUCUUUUCGAUGCGAAGAUGUAUACAGCGCAGCCACGGAUAAUCAAAGAUAUUUGUCUUAUCCUACAGUCAACCCAAUUAAGAUGGGAUGCAGGAGAUCGAGGUAACAACACACAAACAUGGUCUUCCCUUGCUCAGCUUUUAAUAUGGGGCUUCACUGCAAGGUGCUUGGAAAUGCUUGCAGAAGUUUGGAGGACCAGGUUAUCUGCUGUUCAAGAAAUCUUCCAUGCCGUGGGGGCUGCCUGCUCCCAAGGAGUACCUCAGUAACAGGUCCCAAAUCUGGCAACCUAAGCUGUCAUAGCAGAGCUGAUGCUGGUUUUUGCUGUGCUCUGGCCUGCUACGUGGCUGACCUUGACUGUCUGCAGCCGCUGUGGAAGAGGAAAUCCUGCAGAGCGAGCCCCACCUAGAGAGGAAAAUGCCAAGCAUGGCUUCAGUUCGUCCUUGGACUCUGCACUUUGUUGAAUAAGUCAGCAGGCUCCAACAUCUCGGUGCCUUCUGCUCAGACAGCUAUAUGGUCCAGCUGGGGCACAGGCGAGAACAGCCCUGCAAACUGCUGAGGGUGUGGGAUUAUUCCACUGCUGCAGCAAGAGAUGUGCCAGGAACAUUUGUCUCCACUAACAACAAACAUUAAGAAUAAGUAGCAUUCCUUCUGGUGAAAUACUUUCCGUUGGAAGGUAGCUGUUUGCUGCAGCUGGAGCAGGCACUGCUUCCUGCUUUUGCCCUGCUUUGCAGAGAAGACGUGUGCCCUGUGAUAGCACACAGCAAGGCACACUCGGUGUUUAGCACCGCAUCCUCAUCUCAGAUGAUAUUCAGAAACCUCUGACUUGUUCUUGGUGGGGAUGAGGCAGAGCUAUGAACUAUAAGCACCUGCGUACAUCUGGAAUAGAAGGAGUUGUGGUUUUUGACAGUUUUAUCUUACAGGGUGUGAUAUGCUCCUAGCUGGAAAGUAAUGCUCGUCUGCUGUGGCAUUUGAGCCACGUCUGUGCAGUCAGAGGGCAGGUUUUCAGUUGAUGGUGCAUGCAGCAGAGCAACCAGCAACAAUAAUAAUUGUUUUGUGUUGUUUCAGUGGUACUGUGGACCCAAUCCUAAUCUCCUCUCCUUCCAUUUCAGGGUGAGUUCUAUGCAUCUAAUAUUGGCAUCUUGUUAAUUAUCAGAAUCCUGGGUAAAAAUCAAUGGAUGUGAUGCUUUAAGUGCUGCUCCAAGCAGAAGAAGGCUGAGUGCCAGGAAGAGAAGCUGCCAAGCUGAGCUCUGACAGCAUUACUUCCUCCAGGUGGUACAUCUGAGUGGGUAACACCAGCGUUCAUCCUCUAUACGGGGAGAAUACUGAGGUAAAAAAGAAACACAAGGAAACGGGGUUGUAAAGAUGUAAGUCGUCUGCAAGGAGUCAGGAAUUCAUCAUGUACCUGGAGACAGAACAGUUGUUUAAGCAUUAGUGUGGUAUGUUGUGAGGAAGGUAGUGGAUGCCCAUGAUAACUCAUUGUUUUCCAUCUUGUUUUCUUUACUCUUCAAUGAGGAGCAGCUCCUUACAUGCUAUUGUAGAUCUACUGUAGAAUUUUUUUUUUAAUUUUCUGGGUUUCUAGUCUAAUGCAUGCUGAGAAACAGUGUAAUCUACAGGACGCCCCAUUAUUUUCAAGGAACAGUUCAGCUUUGGUAAAGCUGAUUAGCCUAGAGUGUUAGGUGAGAGUUUUUGCAGAAUUAGCAUAGUGAAGCUAUUACCAAAUUUUACCUUGCUUUUACCAAUUGUCAUAUUUUAGUGAAGUAAUUUAAUUGCUGACUGGAAGAGGAAAAUGAGUGCUUGUGUUGUUCCUCCUUUUGCUGCUUUCUUGUUUUAACAAAGACAUUUCACUACCUUGCCAAUGGAAACAGUUAAGGUAGCAUGUUGUUUCUUUCAUCACUGUGUGAUCGUGGAGCAAAAAAAUGGUGUCUCAGACCUGAAGUCCUCACCGUAGCUUUUGCAGGGGGAAGGAACAGCGUGCAGCUGAGCUGGUGUCAGAAAUGUACAUUUGCCAUGUACGAGGGGGUGACUGAAUUCUCCUUGUACGCUACUCUAUUGGAGAAGCUUCUGUGUAUUGCUGGAAGAAAAAAAAUGCAGGUUGAAGAAGAAAACACUGCUGCAAGGAAAACUCGAAUAGUAAUGCUUAAGUUGUAGGCAGUGCUCCGCUUACCUGGCUGUUGUCCAGCUUUUGUAUGAUACAGUCUCUGUGUUUGUUGCAUAUGUCCCUUAUCAUUAGCUUUGGAAGCUAAUAUUUGAGAUAGUCCUCCACGAAGAUGAACAGGAAGAACUGUUUGAGUGAGAAUUAAUAUAUCGCAUGUGCUACUCCUCAGAACAGUAGCUGGGUGCUUUACCUUGAAUUUAAGGAAGUGUAUUGCAGAUGUUCUAUUUGUAUUCCAAGAAGAGUUUUUUAUAGGCUACGCUGCAUACUGAAAUGAUGUGAGGAAGCCAGAGCAAAGAAGGUGAACUUGGCUGUAAUGAAAGGCUAAGCGUGCAGUAGUUAGUUUGAAUACAUCAGUUGCCUCUGUAGUACUCUCAAGUCAGGCUUGUAGACUUUGAGGAAGCAAAGAGGCUGUCGACCUUUAUGAGAAGCUCUAACAGGGCUUGCGUAUUCCUAUUAAGACAGUUUCUGUGAAGCCUGUCUGUACAAGGGGACUCUGGUCACCCUCAUCUUCUCUGUUGCCGAGACGCCACUGUCUUCAGCGCAUUCAUCCCAGAACUUCAUCCUUGUAUGCAAGCGUGGAAUAGAGCUCCCCAUACUUACCUCUCGCUAAAUUUAAACACUGAUGGUUUUCUUUUUCAAAAUGGCACUUGUGGGUUUUUUAUGCACAAAUGAGGUGAGAUCUCCUUGCAAGCAUAGGCACAAGGACUUGGGCUGUGUGGCUGGCUGAGAGAAAGGUAAAUAAAUGACUGAUGAAAAACAUGAUUCUAAGAUGCUACUGCUGAUGGAUGCCUGGAGCACCUCCCUUCUUCCACCACAAAACUACGACAGAAACCCAUCCAACAAAAAAAAAAAAAAAAACCAACAAAAAAAAGCCGCAAGCCUGGUUAGGUGUCUGCAAAGGUUCUCAUAGGCUAGUGGAAUCCUGGUGAAAAACAACCUGUGAAUGAAAAUCAAUGUUGUCAUUGUAAUCCAUUGUGGACAGAAAAGCAAGAAGCUUGGAAGGCUGCAGUAGGCACAGCAGCAAAGCAGUAUAGUGAAGCAGCAACAGGAGAUGAAUGCUGUGUUAAAUCUGUUAUGAAGCUAUAGUAUACAGAAAAUGUGGCAGCCUUCUCCUUAUCAGGUAGCAUUCACAUAGCACACAAAAAUCUGUAAAUAUCAUAUGGCAUAAAGGGGAUUAUCAUGCAAAAGAAUUUCCUAGCAGUCAGGAAAGGAAGGACCACUUCUCACGAAGGGCGCGACUGAGCUAUUGAAAUGAGAACAAUAACAGCCCUCAGUGCUGAUGACCGUGGAAGUUUGAUGUCUGCAGGUUCUUGCCAGGUUCACCGUGUGCUUUGGUAAGAGCUGGAAGGAAGCGAAGUCGCGGCGACCUGGUGGAAUGCAUUAGGUGGAGAAGAGGAAACUGCCUUUCCUGUCAAAUAAUUUUUUCAGCUAACGCUUUUUUACUGUGUGCGACCAGCUGUAUAGUUGAGCGUAAAUAGUGCUCACAGAAAGGUGGUAGAGCUCAUUUAGUAAUUGUUAAUCUUAAAUACUGUAACGAGGUCAAAAUAGUAAGUUGUACAAAGACAACGGGAGUGGGCACCAAGCGUUGUGGUACACUGCGGUGAAUAAGAUUUAUAGGGGCAAAAUGUUUUUUCACAUUGCUCCCAUAGGGAUGCAUCAGAGUAACUAAGUCACACUCUGUUAUUAGAAGCAAAUCAGGUAAGUUCCAAGUAGAGUUUUUUAGGUUUUUCACUAUAGCUUUAGUACUUAAUGCACUUAGAAACAAUUUCCCAGAUUUUUUUAACGAUAGCCUACAGAUCUGAUUUUCUUGGAUUAUUUGGUAUAGUUUUGGCAUCAACAGACCAACAGUGAAUAAAGCUCUCCUGAGACUGCCUUGCUUGUGCAGAGAAAACACUGGCUCAGUUGCGUAACAGAUGAUCUCACCCUGCCCAUGCUUUGCUGCCCAGUUGUCACGUGGGCGCAGUUAGCAUGGCACGCUGUUCUAGCUGCUAAUGGACGUGGAGCAUUAUCUGGGUAGCAUCUGGCAUUUGCCAUGUCUUCCAGGUGGUUAGAAGGACAGGCGCAGUGAGUUUGCGUCUGUCUCAGUGCGAACAUGGCCUUUUUCUGAGAAAUGUUGUGCAAAGCAGAGUAUGAAAGGCUUGCAAAGGGUUUUUGUGAAAUCCUUAAAAUGUGAAACUUUUUCUGUAUUGCAGAACAACUGCUAUCAGAGCUUCUAUUUGAUUAACUCUUCUACUCUAUUGAGAAACAGCAACUGAAAGUCUCCCAACUCCGACGUUGCCCUAAACGCUUCUGGACCUCUCACUCGUUGGCACAGAUUUUGACUGCAAUCUCAUGAAUGGACACCGCCUAAAUCUGUUAAGUUUUUCAAGACAGAUGCUGAAUAGUCUGAUGGUGUAGGCACCAUAAGAAAAGUUAAAGUUUUGAGCAACUUUGUCUUUAUAGAACAAUAGAAUUAGUGAUAAGGGUGCUAUUGUCUUCAAACUUAUUAAGACUAGGGUACCAAGUAUGUGUGGUGUGUAUUUAUAUAUAGAUAGGUAGAUGUAGAUAUAGAAACAUGCUUUUUUUUUAGAUUUUAUAUUGGUGUGCUAAUCCUUGCACUAGAUAAUGAGGCAGAGUUAAUGGUCAUGCAGAGAGACAGCCAUCUCUCAGGGGUAAACAUUUGCACAUAUAAGAUACAUUUCUCCCUGCAGGAUUGCAUGAUAAAGAAGCUGUGCAACUCCUGAGUUUCCACUGUUGUUUUCAUCUCUCAACUCGUGUCCCCCUGUAGAGGACCACUUUCUCAUGAAAAGAAAAUAGAAAGCAGUAGUCAAACAGCAUCUAGCACCUGCAUCUCUAUGCAACAAAUGAGCUGACAAAAGAGGCAGCGGGUCCCGAUACUGGGAGACAUUUGUAACCCUCGUGUGCUCAGCCCUAAGGAGCCUGCUAUGAACUGAGGCAUCAGACCAGGCCAGCCGCAGAAGUUCCUGCCCACCUCCACCGUUCUGUUGCAUUGGCAUUUGUUUGCCUGGCCCCAAAUCAGCUUGCAAAUUUCAGUGAUUAUAGUAUGUUUUUUCAUCCUAUAUAACAAAGAACUAGGGAAACAUCAUUUUGAAUUUUGUCAAUUAUAUCUACCUACUAACAGGUUGUCUCUUAAUUUAAAUCUUUCCUAUUUAAACCACAUGCUCUCUGAAAAUCCCUGACCGGUUCCCAAUGCUGAUGUGGAACUUGUGUCUAACACCCUGUUUUUAUUCUUUAUCCUGACUCUCCUAAAAAUUAUGGAACUUAGCCAGUACUAUUCUGGCCCAGUUCAUUUCCAGAAUAUAUUGCAAUACUCUCCUUAACCAUAGCUGAAAAGCUUAAGCCUCUGUUACAACUAGCAUUAUGGGCAGAGGACCGCGACUGACCGGUCACUGCGACAGAAUCAGCAUGACCAACUACAAAUAUUGCUCUGAACAACAUACCUAUCUGAAACAGUGACACUAAUGAUACCACAGGGAUCCCAGGGAAAGGAGCAGGGUUACACAGAAACUUGAGAGUUACAAAAAGAUUGACAUUCAUGAAUAUCUCAAAACCAAAAAAAGUAAAAACUUACCUAUUCCAGAAGAAGAAAGGUAAGAUCGGGCUUAACCGGAAAAUGAAACUAGAAAACUCUUUCUGGUGCUACACAAACCACGGUUUGAAGGUAGGUUGAUGCUUCCUUGUGUCCGUUUCCUCCUGAGCUUCUCAAUCCUUCCAGAUUUAUUUGUUAAUAACCUUCUAGAGGGCUAAAGAGAGAGGGCCAGUGUGCAACGAAAGGAUCAUUAGCUGUCCCAGGGAGUAAUCGUCCCAAUGAACAGUGAAUUAUAGUUUACCACCUGCAAUUGAAGCUUUCUUCAACUGCCUGUUCUGCUGCCUGAUAGGCUUAUUUUCCAUUUCCUGUAUGUGCUACAUUUCCUAACUUCUUUACAUCAUAUAAUAGGCAUUGGUAGAUUUACAUAAUGCUGUUUUCCUUGUGUGUAAGCGAAGCUUGCUCUUUUCAGAUGGUACUUCGAGCAGGUCGCACCCCAAAUACAAUUUUAGCAUCUACCCAUAUAAUUAAAACUCUCAUCAAGGCAGUUAUUUCAACCUUCUGAGGCAAAGUUCCCACAGGCAACGGUUGUGCUUCAAUUACCUGGUCAGUAGAAGUUACUGCAUAUCCUGCCUUACAGACUCCCUCAGACACAGCUUCUGACCCCGGCUCUCUCUCCCACUCUGACAGUUCUGCUUGCAGGGGAAUGGUGCAGGGUGUUGCUCUCAUGUCAGUGCAGGUAAACUCACUUUAACCCUUUUUCCUCUGUAAAUGCUUCCUCUAUUUCUAUGCUCAGAUACACUUCCACAUUCCCUCAAGUACACUUUCAUAUAUCAUUAACAAUUACACUUUCUUAUACCAUCAAAACAGUUUGUC
This is a non-coding RNA of Coturnix japonica (Japanese quail), 14096 nucleotides long. The record is from RefSeq and is a predicted model, not a curated record. Lineage: Eukaryota; Metazoa; Chordata; Aves; Galliformes; Phasianidae.